GGUCCUAUGGUAUAGUGGUUAGCACUCUGGACUCUGAAUCCAGCGAUCUGAGUUCAAAUCAAGGUAGAACCU
Non-coding RNA from Podarcis lilfordi (Lilford's wall lizard), 72 nucleotides. NCBI's taxonomy places the organism in Eukaryota, Metazoa, Chordata, Lepidosauria, Squamata, Lacertidae. The record is from the annotation of a GenBank genome assembly.